RNAcentral lists this unclassified non-coding RNA (1087 nucleotides) under Penaeus japonicus. Its description in RNAcentral is "uncharacterized LOC122258378, transcript variant X1". The record is from RNAcentral. Lineage: Eukaryota; Metazoa; Arthropoda; Malacostraca; Decapoda; Penaeidae.
AGUGUUGGGGCAAGAUACAAGCCCUGAGCUCUUUAGUAUAAGCUCGAGCUCUCUCUCACACACACACACGUACAUACAUACAUAUGUACACACAAGCGGGAUUUUACAACUGAUUUUCUUUUUCAUUAAUCUCGUCUCGUUGAACUGAAAAAAAGGACACAGCCGCUUGUCGCUACCCUCUUUACAGUGUCCAGAAGGGGCAUGAUGCCGGGCUGGAUGCCGCCCAGCACCAAGACCACACCAACGCCCACGCCCACGAGCAACAGCAGCAGCCACAACUACGCCCGUCUGGAUCUCCCAAACCUUCUCUCUCUCCAUCCUUACCCCCACCCGCUCCGUCUGACGAGCCGCCCCACGCCCACAAUCGAGGCCUUCUAAACCACCCACCUCCCGUACAGGACGACUUGUAAGGAACGACGCCUGCUCUCCAAUUCGCCCACAUCACGCCCACGACGCCCACGUUUGAGCCUCGAUGUCAUCUCGGGUGGGGGCAACUCGAGAGUGAAAGUGUUUGUGCAAUUCCCUUAGACUAACAACAGAAUCGGAGAGAAACAUAUUACAGACUGUCAGGUCUUUUGAGGUGACGUUUAGUGGAGGAAUAGUUUCUUUUUCUUUUUUCUUCUUCUUCUUUCUUCUUUUGGUUAUAUACGGAACCAGGAAGAGAAGACAAGAAGAAAAGAAGGUGUGGCUUUUAUUAUUGAUUAAUGUUGUGGAAAUACAGUAGAAUACAGUAGUGAUUGAAGUGUGAAUACAGUUAUGUGUAGAACCGACAUCAUGUAAACUUCAUGAAUUUUGUGAAUGGAGAAAAGUAAAGUUUUGGUUAAUUAGAAGUGUCGUAGUAAAGGAAGUUUGCAAAUAUAGUGGGAAUAUAUAUACAUAUACAUAUGUUUUAUGUGAUUAUUUUUUUUCAUGUCGAAGAAUGAAAUAGAAUGUAAUGACUAAAAAUAGAAUGAUAGCAUUGAAAGAUUACAAAUAUAUAUAUUUCCCCCAAACAAAUCAAUAAAUAAAAAAUACAACAAUAAUAACAAAUGUGAAGUGAAGAAAUAUUCAAGAAAACAAAAACAAGGAAACGAACAAGAAAAAUAUA